AGAUUUUAUUUUGGAAUUAUUUUGUGACAUAAAUAUGUCUGAAUAAAAACCUUAUCUAAAUAAAAUCUAUAUCAUUUUGCGGAAUGUUGUGCUGGGAUGUAAUGGAUUUUUUUUAAUACUGUUAUUUCAGGAUUCAGACAGUUACAGCAAAGCAGAUGAGAUGAAAGGAAAAAAAAACAGGAAGGUGACCAUGACUCAAAAUACACAUCGUUUGUGGCAGACCAAGAUCAACACACUAUUUCAUAAAAUGACAAAUGUUUCACAUCAUACCCAAGAGAAACAAAUUUGUCAGGUUUUCAAAUAUAGGUAGACUAGAAAAUAAUUCUGAACUUCACAGGUUUAUCUUGAAUCUAUUUUUUUCUACAUUAAGUUUAAAUAUUAAGGCACAAAAACGAAAGGAUUACCAGUGACUGGUAUCUGUUGGGGCUGUAUGUGAAGAUUUUAUCUACUUAUAUAUAAGAUUGCCUAUUAUACAGUUUCUGUCAUUUUACUUGAAGUUUCUACUGAGGUCAUAUGGAUUUCUACCAGCCAUCAUUAUUGAUUUUACUCUCUCACUGAAUUUUGGGCACAUCUCGAUUGAAUAUUAAUACAACAGCAUUUCAAUGUAUGCUAUGCUACCUUUGUACUCUUUCAACAUGGUCGUUUGAUAAUUUUUAUUUUUAAAAUAUCUUCAGGACAAAUUCUAUAUUUUUUCCUCAUGAAGAAAAUGAAACAGUAUUAUAGUGUGACUUGAACAAAUUACAUUUAUUCCAAGCUAUUUAUCAGGAAGCACAUCUGUGAUUUUACCAUUGUAUAUUUAUAACGGUGCAAUAAAUAUUUAUUGAAUGAAUAAAUGACUAUA
Macaca mulatta (Rhesus monkey) is the source of this 841-nucleotide non-coding RNA. The record is from RefSeq and is a predicted model, not a curated record. Lineage: Eukaryota; Metazoa; Chordata; Mammalia; Primates; Cercopithecidae.